AUCAAGCUUAAGCACAUGUAAAUGCUUGACUCGAGCAUCAAGCAAACAUUGUAAACGGUCAACAUGCUUGGCUCAAGCAAAAAUCUACGUACUUGACAUCAAGCUGCUGGACCGCCUCGGAAGGUUUUAACGAU
Molecule: long non-coding RNA, 134 nt
Organism: Maniola jurtina (meadow brown)
Lineage: Eukaryota; Metazoa; Arthropoda; Insecta; Lepidoptera; Nymphalidae
Exons: 3
Source: RefSeq, a predicted model, not a curated record